GACGAGGGAUCCUAGCGUUGUUCGGAAUCAUUGGGCGUAAAGAGUAUGUAGGCGGCCUUGUAAGUCAGUUGUGAAAGCCCCGGGCUCAACCCGGGAAGUGCAAUUGAUACUGCUUGGCUUGAAUGUGGAAGAGGGCAGUAGAAUUCCUGGUGUAGUGGUGAAAUACGUAGAUAUCAGGAGGAAUACCGGUGGCGAAGGCGGCUGCCUGGUCCUACAUUGACGCUGAGGCGCGAAAGCUAGGGGAGCAAACGGG
Molecule: ribosomal RNA, 253 nt
Filed under: uncultured bacterium
Lineage: Bacteria
Description: partial 16S ribosomal RNA
Rfam family: Bacterial small subunit ribosomal RNA
Source: RNAcentral